UACGUAGGGUGCAAGCGUUGCCCGGAAUUAUUGGGCGUAAAGAGCUCGUAGGCGGCCUGUUGCGUCCGCUGUGAAAUCCCGGGGCUCAACCCCGGGCCUGCAGUGGAUACGGGCUGGCUAGAGGCAGGCAGGGGAGAACGGAAUUCCUGGUGUAGCGGUGAAAUGCGCAGAUAUCAGGAGGAACACCGGUGGCGAAGGCGGUUCUCUGGGCCUGUACUGACGCUGAGGAGCGAAAGCGUGGGGAGCGAACAGG
Molecule: ribosomal RNA, 253 nt
Filed under: uncultured bacterium
Lineage: Bacteria
Description: partial 16S ribosomal RNA
Rfam family: Bacterial small subunit ribosomal RNA
Source: RNAcentral